RNAcentral lists this long non-coding RNA (1633 nucleotides) under Pan troglodytes (chimpanzee). Its description in RNAcentral is "lncRNA (ENSPTRG00000053203.1)". The record is from RNAcentral. Lineage: Eukaryota; Metazoa; Chordata; Mammalia; Primates; Hominidae.
UUACAGUUACUUCUUUUACAAAACAAAACAAUCUGUUAGGUUUUGGUUACAAUAUUAUUCAUUACUUACAACUAAUAUUAAAAUUUUCCUUCUUUCUCUGUUUUGAAAGUGUUAUAUAGCGUAAGAAUUCUCUAAUUUUUUUUUUUUUUUUUCUUGAGACGGAGUCUCGCUCUGUCGCCCAGGCUGGAGUGCAGUGGCGCGAUCUCGGGUCACUGCAAGCUCCACCUCCUGGGUUCACGCCAUUCUCCUGCCUCAGCCUCCCGGGGAAGCUGGAACUACAGGCAACCGCCACCACACCCGGCUAAUUUUUUGUAUUUUUAGUAGAGACGGGGUUUCACCGUGUUAGCCAGGAUGGUCUCGAUCUCCUGACCUAGUGAUCCGCCCGCCUCGGCCUCCCGAAGUGCUGGGAUUACAGGCGUGAGCCACUGCGCCCGGCCAAGAAUUCUCUAAUCUUUACAUGCUUAGUGGAACUCUCCCAGGAAAGCAUCUACUCUCAGGACUUGGAAAGGCCAAGAACUAUAUGUUUAAAACCCUUAACAACAACAACAACAACAAAAUCAAUAAGGCAGCUCAACGAAAUAAUUCAGCACGAGAUCGCUAUUAAAAUCAAUUUACCUGGCAGUGAGAACAACUAAAUUUGGGCCAAAGUGAUGAACUAUCAUGCUUGGAUGUCCAAAAUUCCCAUGUAAUGCUUCCAAGUAAUAGUCUUCAAAACAAUUAAGAUGGAUGCUCCAAAUAUGGAAGGAAGAGGUUACUAUCCAAUAUCAGAAACAAGACAUUCUAUCAGAGAUAGAGAACAGAUUGACAGCUUUCCAAUUGCAACUGGAAUUUCCACAGUCCUUCAUUGGUAAUAGUGCAUCAUUGAAUAAUUGUUAAGAGUGUGAACUUUGGCUCUGCCACUUACCACAUCUGAGAUCCUGAGGGAGUUACUUAAGCUCUCAGUUCCACAUUUUCUUCAACAAUUACAUGAGAAAAGUAAUGGUAUAAACUGCAUAGGUUUUCAUGAUGAUUAAAUGAGUAUAUAUAUAUAUAUAUAUAUAUAACAAUGGCUGGCACCUUAAUUAGUAGGCACUGAAAAAUUGUUAGCUUUUUUUUCUUUCCACUUUUCAUUUAUUUCCUCACUUACUCAUUCUGUUGACACACAUUCCAAAAGGACUUCUAUGUGAUGAUCCUUGUCAUGAAAAGUGGUAUUGAUGAGGUGAAAUGUAAUAAAGCCUUAGAUGUAUUUUAAUUGUUUGAAGAAAUUGAGAAAUUCUACUGAGUAUUAAGCAGUAAAGUUGUAUUUAUACAUGUUAUUAAUUGUUAUCAAUUGCUAGUAGUUUUCUAUUCAGCCCUUUAUACUUUGUAUCUGUUCAGUCAUUUCUUUCUGUUUCGAAGCAGUUACCAGCUGCAAUUUGUUACUGGCUCCUCCUGUCUCCUAUUAAUAGGUUUAUAAGUCAAUACUCCAGUAAGAGAUACUGCUGCAAUUUAAAUUAGUAAUGAUAAAAUAUUAUGUAAGAAGGAUGACUGCAGGGAAGCUGAUACAAAUAUGCCUCGUUGUUUUUCCCCAAGAAGCAGUUUAUAAAUAAAAUGUGACUUGUUUAUGUUUUGGUUCAUUGUCAUUUUAUUUUCUCUAGAUAAAAUUUGCAGGAGU